Molecule: long non-coding RNA, 411 nt
Organism: Neopelma chrysocephalum (saffron-crested tyrant-manakin)
Lineage: Eukaryota; Metazoa; Chordata; Aves; Passeriformes; Pipridae
Exons: 3
Source: RefSeq, a predicted model, not a curated record
CUGAAUUCAGGCCAACAUGGGAUCAGACCAACCUCACAUAAGCAGCUUUAGGCUGAUGUCAGCAGAGCGGUUGGUACAAAUUCCCAGCAGCAGCAGGGUCAGUGCUGAGGGGUGAGGGCUUCCUGAAAGCUGGGACAGAUGCUGGGGGUCCGAUCCAUGAAUUUACAACUGUGAGCAUGACACAGUCCAAUCAGGGGAAGCCUGCUGCCAUAACCCCACAACCCCAGCCUUGCAAAUCAACAGAAAAAUGCUGUUCAUCAGAGAUUCCUAGACACUUCAGCUGAAAGGACUCCCCGAAAGUGUCUAACCCAAGAUGGAAUCCACAGUGCUGCAUCAGACCAAAUCUGGCUUUUUCUAGCUAUGUCUUGAUGUCCUACAAAGACAGAGUCACAGGGACAGUGCUUGGGGACU